Molecule: ribosomal RNA, 275 nt
Filed under: uncultured bacterium
Lineage: Bacteria
Description: partial 16S ribosomal RNA
Rfam family: Bacterial small subunit ribosomal RNA
Source: RNAcentral
CCUACGGGGGGCAGCAGUGGGGAAUAUUGGACAAUGGGCGCAAGCCUGAUCCAGCAAUGCCGCGUGGGUGAAGAAGGCCUUCGGGUUGUAAAGCCCUUUUGUACGGGAAGAAAUCAUCCGGGUUAAUACCCUGGGUGGAUGACGGUACCGUAAGAAUAAGCACCGGCUAACUUCGUGCCAGCAGCCGCGGUAAUACGAAGGGUGCAAGCGUUAAUCGGAAUUACUGGGCGUAAAGCGUGCGUAGGUGGUUGUUUAAGUCUGUCGUGAAAGCCCUG